Molecule: ribosomal RNA, 426 nt
Filed under: uncultured Mycoplasma sp.
Lineage: Bacteria; Bacillati; Mycoplasmatota; Mollicutes; Mycoplasmatales; Mycoplasmataceae
Description: bacterial SSU rRNA
Rfam family: Bacterial small subunit ribosomal RNA
Source: RNAcentral
UAGGGAAUUUUCCACAAUGAGCGAAAGCUUGAUGGAGCGACACAGCGUGCACGAUGACGCCCUUCGGGGUGUAAAGUGCUGUUAUAAGGGAAGAAAAAACUAAUUAGGAAAUGAAUUAGUCUUGACGGUACCUUGUCAGAAAGUGACGGCUAACUAUGUGCCAGCAGCCGCGGUAAUACAUAGGUCACAAGCGUUAUCCGAAAUUAUUGGGCGUAAAGCGUCUGUAGGUUGUUUAUUAAGUCUGACGUUAAAUCUUGGGGCUCAACCCCAUUCCGCGUCAGAUACUGGUAAGCUAGAGUUAUAUAGAGGUUAGUGGAAUUCAAUGUGAAGCGGUGGAAUGCGUAGAUAUAUUGAAGAACACCAAUGGCGAAGGCAGCUAACUGGAUAUCAACUGACACUGAGAGACGAAAGCGUGGGGAGCAAACA